This 468-nucleotide ribosomal RNA is filed under the name uncultured bacterium. RNAcentral describes it as "partial 16S ribosomal RNA". It matches the Rfam family "Bacterial small subunit ribosomal RNA", at positions 28 to 507 of the family's 1533-position model. The record is from RNAcentral.
GACGAACGCUGGCGGCGUGCUUAACACAUGCAAGUCGAACGGAAAGGCCCUGCUUUUGUGGGGUGCUCGAGUGGCGAACGGGUGAGUAACACGUGAGUAACCUGCCCUUGACUUUGGGAUAACUUCAGGAAACUGGGGCUAAUACCGGAUAGGAGCUCCUGCUGCAUGGUGGGGGUUGGAAAGUUUCGGCGGUUGGGGAUGGACUCGCGGCUUAUCAGCUUGUUGGUGGGGUAGUGGCUUACCAAGGCUUUGACGGGUAGCCGGCCUGAGAGGGUGACCGGCCUCAUUGGGACUGAGAUACGGCCCAGACUCCUACGGGAGGCAGCAGUGGGGAAUAUUGCACAAUGGGCGGAAGCCUGAUGCAGCGACGCCGCGUGCGGGAUGACGGCCUUCGGGUUGUAAACCGCUUUCGCCUGUGACGAAGCGUGAGUGACGGUAAUGGGUAAAGAAGCACCGGCUAACUACGUG